UCCAAGGCCCUUUUUAGGGCCACCAUUUGAUUCCAAUUCUAAUAA
Non-coding RNA from Biomphalaria glabrata, 45 nucleotides. NCBI's taxonomy places the organism in Eukaryota, Metazoa, Mollusca, Gastropoda, Planorbidae. The record is from Rfam.